This 847-nucleotide ribosomal RNA is filed under the name uncultured bacterium. Its description in RNAcentral is "bacterial SSU rRNA". It matches the Rfam family "Bacterial small subunit ribosomal RNA", at positions 8 to 852 of the family's 1533-position model. The record is from RNAcentral.
AGAGUUUGAUCCUGGCUCAGAUUGAACGCUGGCGGCAGGCCUAACACAUGCAAGUCGAGCGGAUGAAGGGAGCUUGCUCCUGGAUUCAGCGGCGGACGGGUGAGUAAUGCCUAGGAAUCUGCCUGGUAGUGGGGGAUAACGUCCGGAAACGGGCGCUAAUACCGCAUACGUCCUGAGGGAGAAAGUGGGGGAUCUUCGGACCUCACGCUAUCAGAUGAGCCUAGGUCGGAUUAGCUAGUUGGUGGGGUAAAGGCCUACCAAGGCGACGAUCCGUAACUGGUCUGAGAGGAUGAUCAGUCACACUGGAACUGAGACACGGUCCAGACUCCUACGGGAGGCAGCAGUGGGGAAUAUUGGACAAUGGGCGAAAGCCUGAUCCAGCCAUGCCGCGUGUGUGAAGAAGGUCUUCGGAUUGUAAAGCACUUUAAGUUGGGAGGAAGGGCAGUAAGUUAAUACCUUGCUGUUUUGACGUUACCAACAGAAUAAGCACCGGCUAACUUCGUGCCAGCAGCCGCGGUAAUACGAAGGGUGCAAGCGUUAAUCGGAAUUACUGGGCGUAAAGCGCGCGUAGGUGGUUCAGCAAGUUGGAUGUGAAAUCCCCGGGCUCAACCUGGGAACUGCAUCCAAAACUACUGAGCUAGAGUACGGUAGAGGGUGGUGGAAUUUCCUGUGUAGCGGUGAAAUGCGUAGAUAUAGGAAGGAACACCAGUGGCGAAGGCGACCACCUGGACUGAUACUGACACUGAGGUGCGAAAGCGUGGGAGCAAACAGGAUUAGAUACCCUGGUAGUCCACGCCGUAACGAUGUCGACUAGUCGUUGGGAUCCUUGAGAUCUUAGUGGCGCAGC